RNAcentral lists this ribosomal RNA (484 nucleotides) under uncultured bacterium. RNAcentral describes it as "partial 16S ribosomal RNA". It matches the Rfam family "Bacterial small subunit ribosomal RNA", at positions 30 to 507 of the family's 1533-position model. The record is from RNAcentral.
AUUGAACGCUGGCGGCAGGCCUAACACAUGCAAGUCGAGCGGAUGAAGGGAGCUUGCUCCUGGAUUCAGCGGCGGACGGGUGAGUAAUGCCUAGGAAUCUGCCUGGUAGUGGGGGAUAACGUCCGGAAACGGGCGCUAAUACCGCAUACGUCCUGAGGGAGAAAGUGGGGGAUCUUCGGACCUCACGCUAUCAGAUGAGCCUAGGUCGGAUUAGCUAGUUGGUGGGGUAAAGGCCUACCAAGGCGACGAUCCGUAACUGGUCUGAGAGGAUGAUCAGUCACUGUGGAACUGAAACACGGCCCGAACUCAGACGGGAGGAGGGGGUGGGAAAUUUUGAACAAGGGGCGAAGGCCUGCCCCACCCUGGCCGGUGGUGUAAGAAAGUUCUUCGAAUUUAAAAGCCUUUAAGUUGGGGAGGAAGGGAAGAAAUUAAAUCCCUUGGUGUUUAGCGUUACCAAAAAAAAAAAGCCCCGGCAAACUUCGUC